UAAUGAGAAGUAUAGUAAUGUGCACUUCAUAAAUUGAAUUGAGUCUGUAGGUUUGUUCUCUCUGAUGCCAUUUGGUUUUGAUUUUGGGGUAUGGUUUCACAACAAAACA
Molecule: small nucleolar RNA, 109 nt
Organism: Rhododendron vialii
Lineage: Eukaryota; Viridiplantae; Streptophyta; Magnoliopsida; Ericales; Ericaceae
Product: small nucleolar RNA snoR100
Exons: 1
Source: RefSeq, a predicted model, not a curated record